RNAcentral lists this ribosomal RNA (254 nucleotides) under uncultured bacterium. Its description in RNAcentral is "partial 16S ribosomal RNA". It matches the Rfam family "Bacterial small subunit ribosomal RNA", at positions 524 to 776 of the family's 1533-position model. The record is from RNAcentral.
UACGUAGGGUGCAAGCGUUGUCCGGAAUUAUUGGGCGUAAAGAGCUCGUAGGCGGUGUGUCGCGUCGGCCGUGAAAACCUGCAGCUUAACUGUGGGCUUGCAGUCGAUACGGGCAUCACUGGAGUUCGGCAGGGGAGACUGGAAUUCCUGGUGUAGCGGUGAAAUGCGUUGAUAUCCUAAGGAACACCGGUGGCGAAAGCGGCUCACUGGAUCUCUUCUGACGCUGAUGCACGAAAGCUAGGGUAGCGAACGGG